GUCUAUGGCCAUACCACCUUGAAUACACCUGAGUUUGGAAGCUAUAGAGUUGGGCCUGGUUAGUACCUUGAUGGAAGACUGCCUGGGAACACCACAUGUUGUAGGUU
RNAcentral lists this ribosomal RNA (107 nucleotides) under Chrysemys picta bellii (western painted turtle). Lineage: Eukaryota; Metazoa; Chordata; Testudines; Emydidae. The record is from RNAcentral.